Molecule: unclassified non-coding RNA, 379 nt
Filed under: uncultured Actinomycetes bacterium
Lineage: Bacteria; Bacillati; Actinomycetota; Actinomycetes
Description: uncultured actinobacterium contains 16S-23S intergenic spacer region
Source: RNAcentral
UCCGAGUUGACCCCGGCAGUCUUCGAUGAGUCCCCGCCAUAACGCGCUGGCAACAUCGAACGAGGGUUGCGCUCGUUGCGGGACUUAACCCAACAUCUCACGACACGAGCUGACGACAACCAUGCACCACCUGUGAACCGGCCCCAAAGGGGAAACCACAUUUCUGCGGCGAUCCGGCCCAUGUCAAGCCCAGGUAAGGUUUUUCGCGUUGCGUCGAAUUGAACCACAUGCUCCACCGCUUGUGGGGGUCCCCGUCAAUUCCUUUGAGUUUUAGCCUUGCGGCCGUACUCCCCAGGCGGGGUGCUUAAUGCGUUAGCUUCGGCACGGACGGAGUCGACACCGCCCACACCUAGCACCCAUCGUUUACGGCGUGGACUAC